GACGUGACUUCAGAGUUUGAUCCUGGCUCAGGACGAACGCUGGCGGCGUGCUUAACACAUGCAAGUCGAACGGUGAUCUUGGGAGCUUGCUCCUGGGUGAGCAGUGGCGAACGGGUGAGUAACACGUGAGUAACCUGCCCCUGACUCUGGAAUAAGCGCUGGAAACGGCGUCUAAUACCGGAUACGAGACGCAACCGCAUGGUUAGUGUCUGGAAAGUUUUUCGGUCUGGGAUGGACUCGCGGCCUAUCAGCUUGUUGGUGAGGUAAUGGCUCACCAAGGCAAUGACGGGUAGCCGGCCUGAGAGGGCGAUCGGCCACACUGGGACUGAGACACGGCCCAG
Molecule: ribosomal RNA, 341 nt
Filed under: uncultured bacterium
Lineage: Bacteria
Description: bacterial SSU rRNA
Rfam family: Bacterial small subunit ribosomal RNA
Source: RNAcentral